CCGUUCCCAUGCCGAACACUGAAGUUAAGCUCUUCAGCGCCGAUGGUAGUUGGGGGAUUCCCCCUGUGAGAGUAGGACGCCGCCAAGC
This 88-nucleotide ribosomal RNA is filed under the name Bacillus swezeyi. Lineage: Bacteria; Bacillati; Bacillota; Bacilli; Caryophanales; Bacillaceae. The record is from RNAcentral.